Molecule: ribosomal RNA, 355 nt
Filed under: Bifidobacterium adolescentis
Lineage: Bacteria; Bacillati; Actinomycetota; Actinomycetes; Bifidobacteriales; Bifidobacteriaceae
Description: bacterial SSU rRNA
Rfam family: Bacterial small subunit ribosomal RNA
Source: RNAcentral
GGGUGGUAAUGCCGGAUGCUCCAGUUGGAUGCAUGUCCUUCUGGGAAAGAUUCAUCGGUAUGGGAUGGGGUCGCGUCCUAUCAGCUUGAUGGCGGGGUAACGGCCCACCAUGGCUUCGACGGGUAGCCGGCCUGAGAGGGCGACCGGCCACAUUGGGACUGAGAUACGGCCCAGACUCCUACGGGAGGCAGCAGUGGGGAAUAUUGCACAAUGGGCGCAAGCCUGAUGCAGCGACGCCGCGUGCGGGAUGACGGCCUUCGGGUUGUAAACCGCUUUUGACUGGGAGCAAGCCCUUCGGGGUGAGUGUACCUUUCGAAUAAGCACCGGCUAACUACGUGCCAGCAGCCGCGGUAAU